This 459-nucleotide ribosomal RNA is filed under the name uncultured bacterium. RNAcentral's name for it is "SSU rRNA". It matches the Rfam family "Bacterial small subunit ribosomal RNA", at positions 26 to 518 of the family's 1533-position model. The record is from RNAcentral.
AGAAUCAACGCUGGCGGCGUGCCUAACACAUGCAAGUCGAACGAGAAAGUGGAGCAAUCCAUGAGUAAAGUGGCGACCGGGUGAGUAACACGUGACUAACCUACCUUCGAGUGGGGGAUAACCUCGGGAAACCGAGGCUAAUACCGCAUAACAUCGCAAGAUCAAAGCAGCAAUGCGCUGGAAGAGGGGGUCGCGGCUGAUUAGCUAGUUGGCGGGGUAACGGCCCACAAGGCGAAGAUCGGUAGCCGGCCUGAGAGGGCGCACGGCCACACUGGAACUGAAACACGGUCCAGACUCCUACGGGAGGCAGCAGUGGGGAAUUUUGCGCAAUGGGGGAAACCCUGACGCAGCAACGCCGCGUGGAGGAUGAAGCCCCUUGGGGCGUAAACUCCUUUCGACCAAGACGAUAAUGACGGUACUGGUGGAAGAAGCACCGGCUAACUCUGCGCCAGCAGCCGC